GGAACUCAGAAGCAGCACAGCCUUAGCAGAACAGGCCGACCCCGUGGCCUACCUGAGUCUGCAAAAAGAAAGCUCAGAUCUCCUCCUGGCCGCUGUGAGAGGUCAGGAGCUGCCCUCAAAGACCAGCUUACAGCGCCCAGCCACACCCGGAGGACGUUCUGACGGGCCCAGUGCUGGACAUUCUGCCCAGAAGAGGGGAACAAAGCUCAUCCAAGGGACUUGGGCUGCUGAAAUGUCCCUGAUGUCAGAGGACUUAGAAGGCUCGGAGGACAGAGAAGCAUUCGGGUCAGACUCAUCUGUGUCCAGACUCUGUGGACAGUGGAGGUCUUUGGGGCUGAUGGUGGGCUGCAGGCCUGGCCUCCUCUUGUGGGGAAGGACCAGGUGUGGCUCUUGUGCCAGGGGUGCCAACAGAUGUUCUUUAGGUCAGGGGCUUUCCAGUCUGCGACUGGAGGUGACAGGGGACCCACCUAGAUGGUGGGAGUAAGAUGGUUGGGAUACCCCAAAAUGACAGCAGCAACCAGCUCAGCGCCUCUGCGCUCACAUUCCCAGCCCCAGGUCGCCCCUGGGGGAAAGCAGCCUGGAGAGCAGCUGGUGAGCAAAUGCUCCUCCCAGUGGGUGACAACUGAGCAGGGCUGCCUGGACGACUGUCCAAAGCAGAGGCUCCAAGUCCUGAGGUGAAAAAGGAAAGAAACAAAUCACUGUUUCCGGUCAUGGCCAGUUUGUUAGAAUCACCUGUGCUAGGAAAAAAUCUAGAUUUUAAAAAGUUCCUAAAAGUGACAUUAAUUACAAGAUGAGAAGUAGAAGAAACCAAGAACCCGGGGGCAAGCCAGGCAGAAGCUGCUUCUUCCCCGAGGGCGGCCCUGGUCUUACAAAGGCAGCUGCUCCUGGGACACUGGGCCAGCCCUCCAGGGGCAGAAACGCCCCCGCUGACAUGGAUGGCUCCUGAGCCCUCCUGUCCACAGAUACAGGAGCCGUGUUGUCCACUGGGCUCCUCUUAGGGGCUCUGGAUCCCCCACCAUGUGCACGUGCACACACAUACACUCACACACACACACACUCACACACACACUCACACAGUUAAGAGGAGUGAACAUAAAGUUACCACUCACCAUUUUCUGAUGGGAAUUAAGAAGACCUGGGGUGAGAAAUAUUGCUCACAAUGGCCCCUGGCUUGUCACCAAUGUCGGACACUCUACCACCGGAGGGAAGCAGGACUAGGGGAGGGGUCUUGGCAGCAGGUGACCCAUCACACAGAUUUUGUUGUGGUUUGGGUGUGAGGUGUCCCCCAAAAGCUCCUGAGUGACUCAGUGCAAGAAGGCUUGGAGGAGAAACGACGGGGGCCACAGCCUUAACCGUAUCCGUGGAUCCGUCCCUGAUGGGAUUAAUGAGUGGUGCCUGGAGGGGGGGUGUGGCUGGAGGAGGUGGGAACUGGGGCGUGGCUUUGGGGUCUACAUUUUGUAUCUGGAGAGUGGAGUCUCUCUCUGCUUCCCUCCACCCCACUCUUCCCCCGUGAUGUCCAGCCUCACCUGGAUCCCGAGGAACGGAGCCAGCUGUCCAUGGACAGAGACCUCUGCGACUGUGAGCCCCCAAAUGAACUUUCCCUCCUCUAAAAUUGUUCUGGUCAUAACAGGCUGGUUAAAACAGAUUCUGACAAGAGAACAGGCAUCACCGUGGGAGGGGCAGGAAUCCUGGGGCCCAUGGCAAAAGGGCGGGACUGGGACAGAGGUCCCUUCCGAAAAAGGCAGAACUUGGGAGAGCACCCGGUGUCCUCUUUGACUUGCUGAAAUUCAGCCGUUUCCUGCAGCAUUUUGCUUUCUGUUCCCUGAAUCUCUUCCUUACAGGCAAAGAGGGAGAGUACCACAGAGGCCACGGCCACGUCUGAUCUGAGGCCACCACAUGGCAAAGCCUUGUGACCCUUGGAACUAGCCGAGGGCUGAGUGGAGACACUGGGCUCCCGAUUCCAGGCCCUGGGGCUUCCUCAGGCAAAGACCUUGCUGUUAGUGUUUCUGUGUCACAAACAACCUGCAUUGAGGCUUCGGUGAUACUCGAGACACACUUCAGCCUGCUCUUGUGAAAAGCCCUCUUCACCAUGGCUGAUUUUAAGACUGUCAGCAGAAGAGUCUCUGCAAAAGAGUCCAAAGUAGAUAAACUUCCUAUUUUCGUGUUGCCCUGUUUUCUUGGCCACUGGCCGAGAAGAUACCAGCACUCCAGGUGCUGGACACCCCCUUACUAGUUUUUCACAAACGUAUCCAGUAUAGUAGUUUGUAGAAAUGUGCAAACAAGGCCUCUGGCCUUGAGCUGGGCUUCACAGAGAUGUCUCUAUUUUUAAGAUAAGUUACAAAUGGGCCCAUGGUAACAGCUGGCAGGGGGAGGAAAGGAAGGGGAGAAGAAGCUCCCCCCUUCUCAGGUGUUGUCCUUGAAGGGUUACCUUACCCAGAACAGUGAGAGAAAAAGCUGCUUUUAUGUGAACUUCUGCAGACUGUGAACUUCUGAGCCCCCCCCCCCUUACAUGCUGGGUAUAAAACUCUGAAACUCCCUGAACUCGGGAUUCGGGGGAUUGAUUGAUUACAGCAAAAGCUGUGCCCUCUGAACCUGGCUGCAGCCAAAUAAAAUUGUU
Marmota monax (woodchuck) is the source of this 2617-nucleotide long non-coding RNA. RefSeq lists it as uncharacterized. Lineage: Eukaryota; Metazoa; Chordata; Mammalia; Rodentia; Sciuridae. The record is from RefSeq and is a predicted model, not a curated record. The transcript is spliced from 3 exons.